GAUGAACGCUGGCGGCGUGCUUAACACAUGCAAGUCGAACGAGAAGUGAAGACGGAAACCUUCUGGCGGAAGGCUUUAUUUCGAGUGGCGGCCGGUUGAGUACCGCGUUGGUAACCUGCCUCAUACAGGGGGAUAACAGUUUGAUACGACUGUUAAUACCGCAUUAGACCACAGCACCGCAUGGUGCGGGGGUAAAAACUCCGGUGGUAUGAGAGGGACCUGAGUUCGAUUAGCCAGUUGGCGGGGUAACGGCCCACCAAAGCGACGAUCGAUAGCCGAUCUGAGAGGAUGGCCGGCCACAUUGGGACUGGGACACGGCCCGAACUCCUACGGGAAGCAGCAGUGGGGAAUAUUGCACAAUGGGGGAAACCCUGAUGCAGCGACGCCGCGAGAGUGAAGAAGUAUUGCGGUAUGUAAAGCGCUAUCAGAAGGGAAGAAAAUGACGGUACCUGAGGAAGAAGCCCCGGCCAACUACGUG
RNAcentral lists this ribosomal RNA (478 nucleotides) under uncultured bacterium. Its description in RNAcentral is "partial 16S ribosomal RNA". It matches the Rfam family "Bacterial small subunit ribosomal RNA", at positions 28 to 507 of the family's 1533-position model. The record is from RNAcentral.